UACUGUUUAUGAUGAUUGUUAUUAAUACAAUGGGAAUCUCUCUGAAUAAGAGUGAAAGACAUACUUGUACUGAAACAGUA
Molecule: small nucleolar RNA, 80 nt
Organism: Ictalurus punctatus (channel catfish)
Lineage: Eukaryota; Metazoa; Chordata; Actinopteri; Siluriformes; Ictaluridae
Gene: SNORD79
Rfam family: Small nucleolar RNA SNORD79
About the family: snoRNA U79 or Z22 is found in intron 7 of the gas5 gene in humans and is also present in mice.
Source: Ensembl